AACGAACGCUGGCGGCAGGCCUAACACAUGCAAGUCGAGCGAGGACUUCGGUCCUAGCGGCGGACGGGUGAGUAACGCGUGGGAACGUGCCCUUUGCUUCGGAAUAGCCCUGGGAAACUGGGAGUAAUACCGGAUGAGCCCUUUGGGGGAAAGAUUUAUCGGCGAAGGAUCGGCCCGCGUUGGAUUAGGUAGUUGGUGGGGUAAUGGCCUACCAAGCCGACGAUCCAUAGCUGGUUUGAGAGGAUGAUCAGCCACACUGGGACUGAGACACGGCCCAGACUCCUACGGGAGGCAGCAGUGGGGAAUCUUAGACAAUGGGGGAAACCCUGAUCUAGCCAUGCCGCGUGAGCGAUGAAGGCCUUAGGGUUGUAUAGCUCUUCCAGCUGGGAAGAUAAUGACGGUACCAGCAGAAGAAGCCCCGGCUAACUCCGUG
This 433-nucleotide ribosomal RNA is filed under the name uncultured bacterium. RNAcentral describes it as "partial 16S ribosomal RNA". It matches the Rfam family "Bacterial small subunit ribosomal RNA", at positions 29 to 507 of the family's 1533-position model. The record is from RNAcentral.